Molecule: long non-coding RNA, 1074 nt
Organism: Ornithorhynchus anatinus (platypus)
Lineage: Eukaryota; Metazoa; Chordata; Mammalia; Monotremata; Ornithorhynchidae
Exons: 6
Source: RefSeq, a predicted model, not a curated record
AUCCGUCACCAAGGAGGCAGACAGGACAGGGGAACAACAAGUCAUUUGUACCUGAUGAGGAGGACACUCCUGGGAAACAAACAGAUGAGCCACUCCAUGAAUCUGAGCCAUUCUCCCGAGGAAUCUUCUCCUGCCUUUAGAGGUAGAGUAUGGAUCACAGCUGGUGCUGGUAAAACAACUCAACGGAGACUACUGCAAUGAGCAGACAAGCCUGGCAUACAGCAAAAUGGGGAGGAUUUGCUUUUCUUGAGCAAAAGCUUUGUGGGGUGCCAAGAGGCAGAGAGAAGAAGGCUUAAAAACAGACCCAGGCUGUGUAUGGAACAAACCCACAGUAACAAAGUUCUAUUCUUAAAAGCAAGACAUGUGGCAGUGUAUGUCAGGCUCACAGAGUUUUUCUCGGUCUGACUCGAAAUCCGAGAGGUCUUUAUCCUAUUUGUACUGUGCGUGAUAAAGUAUUCAUGGACUUUGUAUAUGGUGCACACACAUUGAUGCAGCUACAAAAGACUGCAGAACAGAUCUGACCCAGCGAUUCCAACAUCCACUUUCUGGAGAGGAAAACCCAAGAGAAGACUUCAAUUCCGGUAGCCUCCUCUCCACCUUUUAGCAGGUGGGCCCCAGGUAUUCUUACAGUUAAGCCUUUGGCUUCACUGGUUACUUCAGAACAGUAAACUCCACACAGAAAUGUAUCAUUUUAGCACCUGAAUGAUAACCAUUUUGGGAAAGAUAUCCACAUGCUACAAUGGGUACUGGGUGCUUAGGAAAAUGAGUUUCACAAAGGAUUAUCAUCAUUGUGAACUAGGACCGAUUUAUCUGGCGAAGUAUUCCAAGAGGAGCAGAUAAGGAUUUUAUGUGUCUUUGUGUCUUUUGCUUUCAGAACUAAGAUCCCCGUGUAUGGGACUGCAGCUGAUUCAGUAUCCUAGUGCUUUAAGUAGCGUAUCUUCAGUGCUUUGAAAACCAUGAGUAUUCAGCUAACCGGAUCAUCUUCUUCAGCUAACCAGACCAUCUUCCCCUGAGAAUCAGCAGCAGUAGCAGCAGCAGCACAUAUUAUGUGCAGAGCCCUGUAAUGAGGGCUUG